AGAGUUUGAUCAUGGCUCAGGAUGAACGCUAGCGGCAGGCCUAAUACAUGCAAGUCGAACGGGUUUGAGUAGCAAUAUUCAAAUCAGUGGCGCACGGGUGCGUAACGCGUAUGCAACCUACCUUAAACUGGGGGAUAGCCUUCCGAAAGGGAGAUUAAUACCGCAUAAAAUCACUUGAUGGCAUCUGAAGGUGAUUAAAGAUUUAUUGGUUUAAGAUGGGCAUGCGUGCCAUUAGCUAGUUGGUAGUGUAACGGACUACCAAGGCGACGAUGGCUAGGGGUUCUGAGAGGAUGAUCCCCCACACUGGUACUGAGAUACGGACCAGACUCCUACGGGAGGCAGCAGUAGGGAAUAUUGGGCAAUGGACGGAAGUCUGACCCAGCCAUGCCGCGUGCAGGAUGAAGGCCUUCUGGGUUGUAAACUGCUUUUAUCUAGGAAGAAAACACCCAUGCGUGGGAAACUGACGGUACUAGAUGAAUAAGCACCGGCUAACUCCGUGCCAGCAGCCGCGGUAAUACGGAGGGUGCAAGCGUUGUCCGGAUUUAUUGGGUUUAAAGGGUGCGUAGGCGGCCCGUUAAGUCAGUGGUGAAAGCCUCCAGCUCAACUGGAGAACUGCCAUUGAUACUGGCGGGCUUGAGUACAGACGAGGUUGGCGGAAUUGAUUGUGUAGCGGUGAAAUGCAUAGAUACAAUCAAGAACACCGAUUGCGUAGGCAGCUAACUAGGCUGUAACUGACGCUGAGGCACGAAAGCGUGGGGAGCGAACAGGAUUAGAUACCCUAGUAGUCC
This 788-nucleotide ribosomal RNA is filed under the name uncultured bacterium. RNAcentral's name for it is "bacterial SSU rRNA". It matches the Rfam family "Bacterial small subunit ribosomal RNA", at positions 8 to 796 of the family's 1533-position model. The record is from RNAcentral.